AGAAGUUGCGUUGCGUGCGGCAUAUUGCUUUCUCUUUCACUUCAGGUAACUUACUCGCAAGUUUCUUAGUGCGCAUAACCAGUUUGCUGUUUGCCGCGAUUGAGAUCGGUUGGGACGCAAAGCGUUCAGUACAGGCUGAAUUUACGAUGCAUCUCCACUUUUUCUUGACAGUGAUAUUUGGAAUGAUAUUAUUGCAAGCAGGAUUGGGUGUCGAAGGUGGUCGCUUUAAACGCGAAGAACAUGCUUUGGUAAAAAUUAUUAAAUCUCAUGCCUACAUUAGACCUCCACGACAGUUCAUUCCGACGGUCUCCUACAUGGCACCAGGACCCUACUACUCCAUUCCUUAUUACAAAACAGAGCCUUAUUCCUCUGGUGGAAUUUAUCGAUCAUUCAUACCUCACGAUGCUUAUUAUUAACAUAGAUUCCUCUUUGUUUAAAGCAUGUCUCUUUUCGUAUGUAAGCCAUUCUGUUAUUCUCAGUUUUUAGUAGGCAUCUCAUCUAUCACCACCUAUUGAAUUAACCUGAAAUCAAUUAAUCAAAGUUUGUAUGUGAAGGAGGAUUACACUUUAAAGGAAAAUAAAAAGAUAUAAGAAAAAUAUGAUGAAA
Molecule: long non-coding RNA, 606 nt
Organism: Daphnia pulex (common water flea)
Lineage: Eukaryota; Metazoa; Arthropoda; Branchiopoda; Diplostraca; Daphniidae
Exons: 3
Source: RefSeq, a predicted model, not a curated record